CCGGGUUGCCGUAUCGGAGUCGAUCCUUCCGUCCCAG
RNAcentral lists this transfer RNA (37 nucleotides) under Tillandsia vanhyningii. RNAcentral describes it as "partial tRNA-Gln". Lineage: Eukaryota; Viridiplantae; Streptophyta; Magnoliopsida; Poales; Bromeliaceae. The record is from RNAcentral.